GUGCUCACUUUGGCAGCACAUAUACUAAAAGGGGAAUGAUACAGAGAAGAUUAGCAUAUCCCCUGCACAAGAAUGACAUGCACAUUCAUGAAAAUGGGAUUUGAUAA
Small nuclear RNA from Jaculus jaculus (lesser Egyptian jerboa), 107 nucleotides. Lineage: Eukaryota; Metazoa; Chordata; Mammalia; Rodentia; Dipodidae. The record is from Ensembl.